RNAcentral lists this long non-coding RNA (394 nucleotides) under Sus scrofa (pig). RNAcentral's name for it is "lncRNA (ENSSSCG00060051744.1)". The record is from RNAcentral. Lineage: Eukaryota; Metazoa; Chordata; Mammalia; Artiodactyla; Suidae.
AAGAGUUCUCUGGAACACACCACCUUCCUGCCUAAACUAAUUUCAGCCCCAGGGCCCUCAGGGAAUGCUGCUGACAGGAGAAUGGGUGACCUCAUCCUGGAGAGGACUUUGUCCUCCCCCUGGGGACUUGAGCUGGCCAGACUGGUUCCUGCAGCAGUUAUAGCAGAGUGCCCCAAGGCCUUCGCACCAUGUCAGGUGUCUGCUAGGCUCUGUGCUCCUGGUGGCUCUCACACCCCUCACCCACUAGCAGCAGCUGGUGACCCCAAGGAGAUGGGUCCAGUCCAGCCACACUGCAGAGUCUACACCUGAGCAAGUCCGGACUCACCUGGAACAGGUGUUACCCUCUAGGACCCACCUAGUGGACCUUUGUGGACACAGCUUCCCCUCGCCGGAC